This 343-nucleotide unclassified non-coding RNA is filed under the name soil metagenome. RNAcentral's name for it is "partial contains 5.8S ribosomal RNA, internal transcribed spacer 2, and large subunit ribosomal RNA". The stretch from base 1 to 120 matches the Rfam family "5.8S ribosomal RNA", at positions 35 to 154 of the family's 154-position model. The record is from RNAcentral.
GAUGAAGAACGUAGCGAAAUGCGAUACGUAAUGUGAAUUGCAGAAUUCAGUGAAUCAUCGAGUCUUUGAACGCACAUUGCGCCCCCUGGUAUUCCGGGGGGCAUGCCUGUCCGAGCGUCAUUGCUGCCCUCAAGCACGGCUUGUGUGUUGGGCCUCCGUCCUCCUCCCGGGGGACGGGCCCGAAAGGCAGCGGCGGCACCGCGUCCGGUCCUCGAGCGUAUGGGGCUUCGUCACCCGCUCUUGUAGGCCCGGCCGGCGCUUGCCGACACAUCAAUCUUUUUUCCAGGUUGACCUCGGAUCAGGUAGGGAUACCCGCUGAACUUAAGCAUAUCAAAAGCGGAGA